AUAGUGUCCUGCAGAAUGGUGAUGGGCCAAUCUUACAAGAGACCACAGAAAACUGAUAUAGUGAACUAUAGAAACAACAGUGCCUGCUGCAGUAUAACGAGGACACCCUGAGUAGAGAGCUCCAAUAGACCCAGGUCCAGUGUCUUGGCAGGGUGAAAUGGCACUGAUAUGGUGUCCUGCAGGAUGCUGUGUCCUGCAAUCCUGUGUGCUGUGCUACAGACGCGUGUGGAGGUCAACCCAAAAUGGGCACAGUCUCACCACAGAAGAGUGAAAGAGGCUCCCAGAAGUGAGACUGAGUGCCUGUUGCAGUAUGACGAGGACGCAGUGACCAGAGACCUUCAGUAGACCCUGCUGGCAUGAUUGGCUUUCUGAAGAACAUGAAAUCAACAGCAAUGUUUAUAAUGUUGUACAUACCUGUAUAGUCUGUAUUAAAAGGCAGUACCUGUA
Engraulis encrasicolus (European anchovy) is the source of this 447-nucleotide long non-coding RNA. RefSeq lists it as uncharacterized. Lineage: Eukaryota; Metazoa; Chordata; Actinopteri; Clupeiformes; Engraulidae. The record is from RefSeq and is a predicted model, not a curated record. The transcript has 4 exons.